AAUGGGCGAAAGCCUGACGGAGCAACGCCGCGUGAGGGAUGAAGGCCUCUGGGCUGUAAACCUCUUUUAUCAAGGAAGAAGAUCUGACGGUACUUGAUGAAUAAGCCACGGCUAAUUCCGUGCCAGCAGCCGCGGUAAUACGGGAGUGGCAAGCGUUAUCCGGAAUUAUUGGGCGUAAAGCGUCCGCAGGCGGCCCUUCAAGUCUGCUGUUAAAAAGUGGAGCUUAACUCCAUCAUGGCAGUGGAAACUGUUGGGCUUGAGUGUGGUAGGGGCAGAGGGAAUUCCCGGUGUAGCGGUGGAAUGCGUAGAUAUCGGGAAGAACACCAGUGGCGAAGGCGCUCUGCUGGGCCAUCACUGACGCUCAUGGACGAAAGCCAGGGGAGCGAAAGGGAUU
RNAcentral lists this ribosomal RNA (394 nucleotides) under uncultured Gammaproteobacteria bacterium. Its description in RNAcentral is "bacterial SSU rRNA". It matches the Rfam family "Bacterial small subunit ribosomal RNA", at positions 370 to 779 of the family's 1533-position model. The record is from RNAcentral. Lineage: Bacteria; Pseudomonadati; Pseudomonadota; Gammaproteobacteria.